Molecule: long non-coding RNA, 1506 nt
Organism: Oncorhynchus keta (chum salmon)
Lineage: Eukaryota; Metazoa; Chordata; Actinopteri; Salmoniformes; Salmonidae
Exons: 4
Source: RefSeq, a predicted model, not a curated record
GAAGAAUAGUCACCCGAGGCUUGUUAGGUAGUCUGAAGAAUAGUCACCCGAGGCUUGGUAGGUAGUCUGAAGAAUAGUCACCCGAGGCUUGGUAGGUAGUCUGAAGAAUAGUCACCCGAGGCUUGGUAGGUAGUCUGAAGAAUAGUCACCCGAGGCUUGGUAGGUAGUCUGAAGAAUAGUCACCCGAGGCUUGGUAGGUAGUCUGAAGAAUAGUCACCCGAGGCUUGGUAGGUAGUCUGAAGAAUAGUCACCCGAGGCUUGGUAGGUAGUCUGAAGAAUAGUCACCCGAGGCUUGGUAGGUAGUCUGAAGAAUAGUCACCCGAGGCUUGGUAGGUAGUCUGAAGAAUAGUCACCCGAGGCUUGGUAGGUAGUCUGAAGAAUAGUCACCCGAGGCUUGGUAGGUAGUCUGAAGAAUAGUCACCCGAGGCUUGGUAGGUAGUCUGAAGAAUAGUCACCCGAGGCUUGGUAGGUAGUCUGAAGAAUAGUCACCCGAGGCUUGGUAGGUAGUCUGAAGAAUAGUCACCCGAGGCUUGGUAGGUAGUCUGAAGAAUAGUCACCCGAGGCUUGGUAGGUAGUCUGAAGAAUAGUCACCCGAGGCUUGGUAGGUAGUCUGAAGAAUAGUCACCCGAGGCUUGGUAGGUAGUCUGAAGAAUAGUCACCCGAGGCUUGGUAGGUAGUCAGUACAACGACAAUGAGAAUACCAUGGCUGAAACCAUCAAUCUGUUCUGGUGAGAUUUUAGGGAGGAUUAUGGAUUUCUGAACUGUUUAUUUUAUUUAAAAAAUAUGUUUUUACCCCCUUUUUUCUCCCCAAUUUCGUGGUGUCCAAUUGUAGUAGCUACUAUCUUGUCUCAUCGCUACAACUACCGUACGGGCUCAGGAGAGACGAAGGUUGAAAGUCAUGCGUCCUCCAAUACACAACCCAACCUAGCCGCACUGCUUCUUAACACAGCGCGCAUCCAACCCGGAAGCCAGCCGCACCAAUGUGUCGGAGGAAACACUGUGCACCUGGCAACCUUGUAGGACGGCCGGGGUGUUAAGCAUGUCCCAGUUUAGGUCACUUAACAGUAUGAGCUCUGAAGAUAGCUGGGGGGCAUUCAAUUCACAUAUGGUGUCCAAGGCACAGCUGGGUGCAGAAGGUGGUCUAUAGCAUGCGGCAACAGUGAAGUGGAUUUUUAGAAGUAGAAGCUCAAAUUGUUUGGGCACAGACCUGGAUAGUAUGACAGAACUCUGCAGGCUGUCUCUGCAGUAGAUUGGGUACAGACCUGGAUAGUAUGACAGAACUCUGCAGUAGAUUGGGCACAGACCUGGAUAGUAUGACAGAACUCUGCAGGCUGUCUCUGCAGUAGACUGGGCACAGACCUGGAUAGUAUGACAGAACUCUGCAGGCUGUCUCUGCAGUAGAUUGGGCACAGACCUGGAUAGUAUGACAGAACUCUGCAGGCUGUCUCUGCAGUAGACUGGGCACAGACCUGGAUAGUAUGACAGAACUCUGCAGGCUGUCUCUGC